UACGAAGGGGGCAAGCGUUAUUCGGAAUUAUUGGGCGUAAAGGGCGCGUAGGCGGCUUGGCAAGUGGAAGGUGAAAUCCCUCGGCUUAACCGAGGAACUGCCUUCCAGACUGUUAGGCUUGAGACCGGGAGAGGUGAGUGGAAUUCCCAGUGUAGCGGUGAAAUGCGUAGAUAUUGGGAGGAACACCAGUGGCGAAGGCAGCUCGCUGGGACGUUACUGACGCUGAGACGCGAAAGCGUGGGGAGCAAACAGG
Molecule: ribosomal RNA, 253 nt
Filed under: uncultured bacterium
Lineage: Bacteria
Description: partial 16S ribosomal RNA
Rfam family: Bacterial small subunit ribosomal RNA
Source: RNAcentral